GGGAAAACUUGUGCUAAUACCGCAUAAUGUCGAGAGACCAAAGCAGGGGACCGCAAGGCCUUGCGCGAUAGGAUGAGCCGACGUCCGAUUAGCUAGUUGGUAGGGUAAAGGCCUACCAAGGCGACGAUCGGUAGCUGGUCUGAGAGGAUGAUCAGCCACACUGGGACUGAGACACGGCCCAGAUUCCUACGGGAGGCAGCAGUGGGGAAUAUUGGACAAUGGGCGCAAGCCUGAUCCAGCAAUGCCGCGUGUGUGAAGAAGGCCUGCGGGUUGUNAAAGCACUUUUGUUUCGGGAAGAAAUCAUGCCGACUAAUACUUGGUAUGGAUGACGGUACCGGAAGGAUAAGCACCGGCUAACCUUCGUNGCCAGCAGCCGCGGUAAUAC
This 385-nucleotide ribosomal RNA is filed under the name uncultured bacterium. Its description in RNAcentral is "bacterial SSU rRNA". It matches the Rfam family "Bacterial small subunit ribosomal RNA", at positions 150 to 526 of the family's 1533-position model. The record is from RNAcentral.